CAAGAAUUGUCCUGGGCCAAGUGCCAACACUGGGUCCCAUUGAGAAGCACUGAGCUAUGCUAAGGCUUGGGGCUUAGGCUUUCAGGUUUAGCAAAGGCCACAAUCGUGUUGCUUUGUGGCCCAGUGAAAUAGAAAUUUCCAAACUCUCUCUGGCCACCUGUCCUCUUCCUCAAGGAGGAUACAUGCAACAAAGAGCAUCAAGACAGCGGGCUGGAGGCAGGGCAACCUCAGGGGACCCAAUCCUGGCUGUGUCACUUACAAGCCAUGUGACUCCGGC
RNAcentral lists this long non-coding RNA (277 nucleotides) under Mustela putorius furo (domestic ferret). Its description in RNAcentral is "lncRNA (ENSMPUG00000024687.1)". Lineage: Eukaryota; Metazoa; Chordata; Mammalia; Carnivora; Mustelidae. The record is from RNAcentral.